Non-coding RNA from Schistosoma mansoni, 45 nucleotides. NCBI's taxonomy places the organism in Eukaryota, Metazoa, Platyhelminthes, Trematoda, Strigeidida, Schistosomatidae. The record is from Rfam.
AUCCAUCUGACGAGUCCCAAAUAGGACUAGAUGCACAUCCUGGAU